This 537-nucleotide ribosomal RNA is filed under the name Scirtothrips aurantii. RNAcentral's name for it is "eukaryotic LSU rRNA". It matches the Rfam family "Eukaryotic large subunit ribosomal RNA", at positions 287 to 647 of the family's 3401-position model. Lineage: Eukaryota; Metazoa; Arthropoda; Insecta; Thysanoptera; Thripidae. The record is from RNAcentral.
CCUAAGUGGGUGGUAAACUCCAUCUAAGGCUAAAUACAACCACGAGACCGAUAGCACACAAGUACCGUGAGGGAAAGGUGAAAAGAACUUUGAAGAGAGAGUUCAAGAGUACGUGAAACUGAGGUGGUGUAAACGGACGAGAUCGAAAAGUCCGAAUGGGGAGAUUCAAGCCUAUCCGUGCCGGUGGCUGUUGGGUUCAGAUGGUGCGGUCGGGUAGGGGCUCUCGGGCCGCCUGCUUUGCUCCGUAUUCACUCGUCCCGGCGGUAUCUGUCUGGUGCGGUGGGCUGCACUUCUCCCCUAGUAGGACGUCGCGACCCGUUGGGAGGUUCCGAUCAUAUGGCCCGCGGUGGAGCCCACGCCGGAGCGCAGGCUUGUCUUGCGUUGCUGUGCAUGGACCCGUGGUGACCUGAUCGGCGCCCGACGGUAUCAAAGCUUGGGAAGGAACCGCACAGAGGAUGCGUCCGACGCCCGCAUCGGGCUACGCUCGGACAGGUUCGCACCCGGUCAGCGGCGCUACUGCUUUCGAUACUCGUCCGA